ACUCAAAGGAAUAGACGGGGGCCCGCACAAGCGGCGGAGCGUGCUCUUUAAUUCGUCGCAACGCGAAGAACCUUACCAGGGCUUGACAUGGACCUGCAGGGCCGGGAAACCGGUCGGCCUUCGAGGGUGGUCCACAGGUGCUGCAUGGCUGUCGUCAGCUCGUGUCGUGAGAUGUUGGGUUAAGUCCCGCAACGAGCGCAACCCUUGGGUCCAGUUGUGUUUUUCUGGACCGACUGCCGGGAGCAAACCGGAGGAAGGUGGGGAUGAUGUCAAGUCAGCAUGGCCCUUACGCCCUGGGCGAGAAGCACGCUACAAUGGCCGGGACAGUGGGUUGCCAAGCGGUAACGUGGAGCUAAUCCCCCAAACCCGGUCUCAGUUCGGAUCGGGGGCUGCAACUCGCCCCCGUGAAGGUGGAGUCGCUAGUAACCGCAGGUCAGCACUACUGCGGUGAAUAUGUUCCCGGGCCUUGUACACACCGCCCGU
RNAcentral lists this ribosomal RNA (483 nucleotides) under uncultured bacterium. RNAcentral describes it as "partial 16S ribosomal RNA". It matches the Rfam family "Bacterial small subunit ribosomal RNA", at positions 899 to 1397 of the family's 1533-position model. The record is from RNAcentral.